This 75-nucleotide transfer RNA is filed under the name Streptococcaceae bacterium. RNAcentral describes it as "tRNA-Ser". It matches the Rfam family "tRNA". Rfam says of the family: Transfer RNA (tRNA) molecules are approximately 80 nucleotides in length. Their secondary structure includes four short double-helical elements and three loops (D, anti-codon, and T loops). Lineage: Bacteria; Bacillati; Bacillota; Bacilli; Lactobacillales; Streptococcaceae. The record is from RNAcentral.
GCACGUUUAGGUAUUAGGUUUAGCCUAGUCCCCGACUGAUGGCUUAAAGCGAGGGUUCGAUUCCCUUAACGUGCU